UCCGGUUUGUCACCGGCAGUCUCCCUAGAGUUCCCGGCCGAACCGCUGGCAACUAGGGACAAGGGUUGCGCUCGUUGCGGGACUUAACCCAACAUCUCACGACACGAGUUGACGACAGCCAUGCAGCACCGGAGCAGGGUGCCCUUUCGGGCUCCUUCCCCUUUCAGGGUCGUACUACCUGCUUGUCCAGCCUGGGUAAGGUUCUUCGCGUUGCGUCGAAUUAAACCACAUGCUCCACCGCUUGUGCGGGCCCCCGUCAAUUCCUUUGAGUUUUAGCCUUGCGGCCGUACUCCCCAGGCGGAACACUUAUCGCGUUGGCUGCGGCACAGAGGGAUUCGACUCCCCCCACACCUAGUGUUCAUCGUUUACGGCUAGGACUAC
RNAcentral lists this unclassified non-coding RNA (381 nucleotides) under uncultured bacterium. Its description in RNAcentral is "contains 16S-23S intergenic spacer region". The record is from RNAcentral.